AUGAACGCUGGCGGCGUGCCUCAUACAUGCCAGUCGAGCGCACGGACGAGAAGCUUGCUUCUCUGAUGUUAGCGGCGGACGGGUGAGUAACACGUGGAUAACCUACCUAUAAGACUGGGAUAACUUCGGGAAACCGUAGCUAAUACCGGAUAAUAUUUUGAACCGCAUGGUUCAAAAGUGAAAGACGGUCUUGCUGUCACUUAUAGAUGGAUCCGCGCUGCAUUAGCUAGUUGGUAAGGUAACGGCUUACCAAGGCAACGAUGCAUAGCCGACCUGAGAGGGUGAUCGGCCACACUGGAACUGAGACACGGUCCAGACUCCUACGGGAGGCAGCAGUAGGGAAUCUUCCGCAAUGGGCGAAAGCCUGACGGAGCAACGCCGCGUGAGUGAUGAAGGUCUUCGGAUCGUAAAACUCUGUUAUUAGGGAAGAACAUAUGUGUAAGUAACUGUGCACAUCUUGACGGUACCUAAUCAGAAAGCCACGGCUAACUACGUG
Molecule: ribosomal RNA, 496 nt
Filed under: uncultured bacterium
Lineage: Bacteria
Description: partial 16S ribosomal RNA
Rfam family: Bacterial small subunit ribosomal RNA
Source: RNAcentral